GCCUUCUGAGUGUAGUGGUCAGCAAACUCGAUUCGUAAACGAGUGGUCCGUGGUUCGAUUCCCGGCGAAGACG
RNAcentral lists this transfer RNA (73 nucleotides) under Stegodyphus mimosarum. It matches the Rfam family "tRNA". Rfam says of the family: Transfer RNA (tRNA) molecules are approximately 80 nucleotides in length. Their secondary structure includes four short double-helical elements and three loops (D, anti-codon, and T loops). The record is from Rfam by way of RNAcentral. Lineage: Eukaryota; Metazoa; Arthropoda; Arachnida; Araneae; Eresidae.